Molecule: non-coding RNA, 94 nt
Organism: Mycena latifolia
Lineage: Eukaryota; Fungi; Basidiomycota; Agaricomycetes; Agaricales; Mycenaceae
Source: the annotation of a GenBank genome assembly
GACCUGAUAGCACAGUGAUUAGUGCAUCUGCUUUAAUUGGCGAAAUGCAGUCAAAUUUAGGCAGAAGGUUCCUGUUCAAUUCGGGGUCAGGUCA